UGCUUGCUCCAGAAGCACAUAAACUAAAUUGGAACAGUACAAAGAAGAUUAGUAUGACCCAUAUACAAGGAUGAAAUGCAAAGUCGUAAAACAUUCCAAUUAAAA
This is a small nuclear RNA of Suncus etruscus (white-toothed pygmy shrew), 105 nucleotides long. Lineage: Eukaryota; Metazoa; Chordata; Mammalia; Eulipotyphla; Soricidae. The record is from RefSeq and is a predicted model, not a curated record.